This 1312-nucleotide non-coding RNA is filed under the name Microbacterium sp. SUBG005. RNAcentral's name for it is "bacterial LSU rRNA". It matches the Rfam family "Bacterial large subunit ribosomal RNA", at positions 845 to 2132 of the family's 2925-position model. The record is from RNAcentral. Lineage: Bacteria; Bacillati; Actinomycetota; Actinomycetes; Micrococcales; Microbacteriaceae.
GAUAGCUGGUUCUCCCCGAAAGCUAUUUAGGUAGCGCCUCGUGAACUCAUCUUCGGGGGUAGAGCACUGUUUCGGGCUAGGGGGCCAUCCCGGCUUACCAACCCGAUGCAAACUACGAAUACCGAAGAAUGUUAUCACGGGAGACACACGGCGGGUGCUAACGUCCGGUCGUGAAGAGGGAAACAACCCAGACCGCCAGCUAAAGGUCCCAAAGUCAUGGUUAAGUGGGAAACGAUGUGGGAAGGCCCAGACAGCCAGGAUGUUGGCUUAGAAGCAGCCAUCAUUUAAAGAAAGCGUAAUAGCUCACUGGUCGAGUCGGCCUGCGCGGAAGAUGUAACGGGGCUAAACCAUGCACCGAAGCUGCGGCAGCGACACUAUGUGUUGUUGGGUAGGGGAGCGUUCUGUAAGCCGUUGAAGGUGGCCUGUGAGGGUUGCUGGAGGUAUCAGAAGUGCGAAUGCUGACAUAAGUAACGAUAAAGCGGGUGAAAAGCCCGCUCGCCGGAAGACCAAGGGUUCCUGUCCAACGUUAAUCGGGGCAGGGUGAGUCGACCCCUAAGGCGAGGCCGAAAGGCGUAGUCGAUGGGAAACAGGUUAAUAUUCCUGUACUUGGUGUUACUGCGAAGGGGGGACGGAGAAGGCUAUGUUAGCCGGGCGACGGUUGUCCCGGUUUAAGCAUGUAGGCGGAGGUUCCAGGUAAAUCCGGUACCUUUUUAACGCUGAGGUGUGAUGACGAGGCACUACGGUGCUGAAGUAACAAAUGCCCUGCUUCCAGGAAAAGCCUCUAAGCAUCAGGUAACAYGAAAUCGUACCCCAAACCGACACAGGUGGUCAGGUAGAGAAUACCAAGGCGCUUGAGAGAACUCGGGUGAAGGAACUAGGCAAAAUGGUGCCGUAACUUCGGGGAGAAGGCACGCUGAUGUGUAGGUGAAGCCCCUGCGGGUGGAGCUGAAAUCAGUCGAAGAUACCAGCUGGCUGCAACUGUUUAUUAAAAACACAGCACUGUGCAAACACGAAAGUGGACGUAUACGGUGUGACGCCUGCCCGGUGCCGGAAGGUUAAUUGAUGGGGUUAGCGGCAACGCGAAGCUCUUGAUCGAAGCCCCGGUAAACGGCGGCCGUAACUAUAACGGUCCUAAGGUAGCGAAAUUCCUUGUCGGGUAAGUUCCGACCUGCACGAAUGGCGUAAUGAUGGCCAGGCUGUCUCCACCCGAGACUCAGUGAAAUUGAACUCGCUGUGAAGAUGCAGUGUACCCGCGGCAAGACGGAAAGACCCCUGAACCUUUACUAUAGCUUGACACUGAACACUGGUCCUU